CCAGGGUACACAAGGUAGGUGGCUGUUCUCCGGAAAUGUCAGUUUCUGGGCAGGGCUUAGGUGUCUGCAGUCCCUAGUCCCACCCCUGGCCUUGCAUUCCAGCUCAGCAGGUGGAAGGUAUAAAUUUCAGCUGCUCUCAGCCCUGCUGUGAUUUCUAAAGCCUUCUAACAGCAACAUGAAGUUGGCAGCCUUCCUCCUCCUUGUGAUCCUCAUCAUCUUCAGCCUAGAGGUACAAGGGCUUCAGGCUGCAGUGAGACCGUUGCGACUUUUGGGUACCUGCGUCGAGCUCUGCAAAGGUGACUGGGACUGCAAUCCCGGAGAGCACUGUGUCAGCAAUGGGUGUGGUCAUGAGUGUGUUGCAGAGUAAGGACAGAUGAAGAGUUAUCUUAAGGAUCAUCUUUCUCUAAGAUAAGCAUCCCUUCUUGGAGUUCCUAUCUUCCAAGAUGUGACUGUUUGGAGUACCUUGACUAAGAAGAUGGAUGAAAAUGGCGAGCCUGUGGAUAGGGACUACAGGGGAUAUGGGAGGCAGGGAAGAGGGGUUGUUUCUUUUAAUAAAUCAUCACUGUUAAAAGCA
Molecule: long non-coding RNA, 574 nt
Organism: Macaca mulatta (Rhesus monkey)
Lineage: Eukaryota; Metazoa; Chordata; Mammalia; Primates; Cercopithecidae
Source: RefSeq, a predicted model, not a curated record